Molecule: transfer RNA, 70 nt
Filed under: Marmota monax (woodchuck)
Lineage: Eukaryota; Metazoa; Chordata; Mammalia; Rodentia; Sciuridae
Description: tRNA.Val
Source: RNAcentral
GGGGUUGUGCUCAGUGGUAGAGCGCUCGCCUAACAUAUGUGAGGCACUGGGUUCGAUCCUCAGCACCACA